GGAUUGUGGCUCAGUGGUGGAGCACUCACCUAGAACGGGCGGGACCCAGGUUCAAUCCCCAGCACCA
RNAcentral lists this transfer RNA (67 nucleotides) under Marmota monax (woodchuck). Its description in RNAcentral is "tRNA.Ser". Lineage: Eukaryota; Metazoa; Chordata; Mammalia; Rodentia; Sciuridae. The record is from RNAcentral.